RNAcentral lists this ribosomal RNA (616 nucleotides) under uncultured Gemmatimonadota bacterium. RNAcentral's name for it is "bacterial SSU rRNA". It matches the Rfam family "Bacterial small subunit ribosomal RNA", at positions 11 to 615 of the family's 1533-position model. Lineage: Bacteria; Pseudomonadati; Gemmatimonadota. The record is from RNAcentral.
GUUUGAUCCUGGCUCAGGACGAACGCUGGCGGCGUGCUUAACACAUGCAAGUCGAGGGCACUUAUGCAGCAAUGUGUGAGUGACCGGCGAACGGGUGCGUAACACGUGAGCGACCUUGCCUCGUGGUGGGGGAUAGCCGGCCCAACGGCCGGGUAAUACCGCAUAGGGUGGUCUUUUCGCAUGGAGAGACCAGCAAAGCCUUGCAGCAAUGCAAUGGCGCCACAGGGGGGGCUCGCGGCCUAUCAGCUAGUUGGGGGGGUAAUGGCCCACCAAGGCGACGACGGGUAGCUGGUCUGAGAGGAUGGCCAGCCACAUUGGGACUGAGAGACGGCCCAGACUCCUACGGGAGGCAGCAGUGGGGAAUCUUGCGCAAUGGCCGAAAGGCUGACGCAGCGACGCCGCGUGGGGGAGGAAGGCCUUCGGGUUGUAAACCCCUGUUGCCCGGGACGAAUGCGUACCAUAGGGUGCGUUGACGGUACCGGGUGAGGAAGCACCGGCUAACUCCGUGCCAGCAGCCGCGGUAAUACGGAGGGUGCAAGCGUUGUCCGGAAUCACUGGGCGUAAAGGGCGCGUAGGCGGCUCAUAAAGGCUGUGGUGAAAGUUCGGGGCUCAACCU